Long non-coding RNA from Mesocricetus auratus (golden hamster), 661 nucleotides. RefSeq lists it as uncharacterized. The transcript is spliced from 4 exons. Lineage: Eukaryota; Metazoa; Chordata; Mammalia; Rodentia; Cricetidae. The record is from RefSeq and is a predicted model, not a curated record.
AACAUUGGUUGGACAUACUGACCUACUACAUAAAGUCCCAGGACCACUGAAUCUCUGGGUCAAGUCCACUUCACCCCUCCCCACACCGUUGGAGCUCCCCUGUUGGAGCAAUCUCCAAGGCCCCCACGUUGCUCCCCCUAUUUCGUGAGGAGGCUGAUCGGUGUUUGGCCAGUAAGGACCUAGGCCAUCAGGUCCUAGGGCCCCUGACCCUCUGGGUCUGAUCCUUUACUGGCGCCCCACUCGUAGGAGCUCCCUUGCAAGAGGAGACUUCUUCAAGCCUCCCAAGUUACCGCCAUUCCUUGAGGAGGCUCACUGGUGUGCCCAGCCAGUAGGGACCUAGGGCAUCAGGUCUCAGGACCACUGACCCUCUGGGUCAAGUCCACUUCACCCCUCCCCACACCGUUGGAGCUCCCCUGUUGGAGCAAUCUCCAAGGCCCCCACGUUGCUCCCCCUAUUUCGUGAGGAGGCUGAUCGGUGUUUGGCCAGUAAGGACCUAGGCCAUCAGGUCCUAGGGCCCCUGACCCUCUGGGUCUGAUCCUUUACUGGCGCCCCACUCGUAGGAGCACCCUUGCAAGAGGAGACUUCUUCAAGCCUCCCAAGUUACCGCCAUUCCUUGAGGUGAGUGGGACAUGUAAAUCAUCAUCUGUGCCACGCUCCCACC